GACAAAAGUGGGGGACCUUCGGGCCUCAUGCCAUCAGAUGUGCCCAGAUGGGAUUAGCUAGUAGGUGGGGUAACGGCUCACCUAGGCGACGAUCCCUAGCUGGUCUGAGAGGAUGACCAGCCACACUGGAACUGAGACACGGUCCAGACUCCUACGGGAGGCAGCAGUGGGGAAUAUUGCACAAUGGGCGCAAGCCUGAUGCAGCCAUGCCGCGUGUGUGAAGAAGGCCUUCGGGUUGUAAAGCACUUUCAGCGGGGAGGAAGGCGUUAAGGUUAAUAACCUUGGCGAUUGACGUUACCCGCAGAAGAAGCACCGGCUAACUCCGUGCCAGCAGCCGCGGUAAUACGGAGGGUGCAAGCGUUAAUCGGAAUUACUGGGCGUAAAGUGCACGCAGGCGCUCUGUCAAGUCCGAUGUGAAAUCCCCGGGCUCAACCUGGGAACUGCAUUCGAAACUGGCAGGCUAGAAUCUUGUAGAGGGGGGUAGCAUACCAGGUGGUUCGCCGCAAUGCGUAGA
Molecule: ribosomal RNA, 514 nt
Filed under: Klebsiella pneumoniae
Lineage: Bacteria; Pseudomonadati; Pseudomonadota; Gammaproteobacteria; Enterobacterales; Enterobacteriaceae
Description: bacterial SSU rRNA
Rfam family: Bacterial small subunit ribosomal RNA
Source: RNAcentral